GACGAACGCUGGCGGCGUGCUUAACACAUGCAAGUCGAACGCUGAAGCUUGGUGCUUGCACUGGGUGGAUGAGUGGCGAACGGGUGAGUAAUACGUGAGUAACCUGCCCUUGACUCUGGGAUAAGCCUGGGAAACUGGGUCUAAUACUGGAUAUGACAUGCCACUGCAUGGUGGUGUGUGGAAAGGGUUUUACUGGUUUUGGAUGGGCUCACGGCCUAUCAGCUUGUUGGUGGGGUAAUGGCCUACCAAGGCGACGACGGGUAGCCGGCCUGAGAGGGUGACCGGCCACACGGGGACGGAGACACGGCCCAGACUCCUACGGGAGGCAGCGGUGGGGAAUAUGGCACAAUGGGCGGAAGCCUGAGGCAGCGACGCCGCGUGAGGGAUGACGGCCUUCGGGUUGUAAACCUCUUUCAGCACGGAAGAAGCGAGAGUGACGGUACGUGCAGAAGAAGCGCCGGCUAACUACGU
This 471-nucleotide ribosomal RNA is filed under the name uncultured bacterium. RNAcentral's name for it is "partial 16S ribosomal RNA". It matches the Rfam family "Bacterial small subunit ribosomal RNA", at positions 28 to 506 of the family's 1533-position model. The record is from RNAcentral.